Molecule: ribosomal RNA, 1519 nt
Filed under: Psychrobacter sp. PAMC 21119
Lineage: Bacteria; Pseudomonadati; Pseudomonadota; Gammaproteobacteria; Moraxellales; Moraxellaceae
Description: bacterial SSU rRNA
Rfam family: Bacterial small subunit ribosomal RNA
Source: RNAcentral
AGAGUUUGAUCAUGGCUCAGAUUGAACGCUGGCGGCAGGCUUAACACAUGCAAGUCGAGCGGAAACGAUGAUAGCUUGCUAUCAGGCGUCGAGCGGCGGACGGGUGAGUAAUACUUAGGAAUCUACCUAGUAGUGGGGGAUAGCACGGGGAAACUCGUAUUAAUACCGCAUACGACCUACGGGAGAAAGGGGGCAGUUUACUGCUCUCGCUAUUAGAUGAGCCUAAGUCGGAUUAGCUAGAUGGUGGGGUAAAGGCCUACCAUGGCGACGAUCUGUAGCUGGUCUGAGAGGAUGAUCAGCCACACCGGGACUGAGACACGGCCCGGACUCCUACGGGAGGCAGCAGUGGGGAAUAUUGGACAAUGGGGGAAACCCUGAUCCAGCCAUGCCGCGUGUGUGAAGAAGGCCUUUUGGUUGUAAAGCACUUUAAGCAGUGAAGAAGACUCCUCGGUUAAUACCCGUGGACGAUGACAUUAGCUGCAGAAUAAGCACCGGCUAACUCUGUGCCAGCAGCCGCGGUAAUACAGAGGGUGCAAGCGUUAAUCGGAAUUACUGGGCGUAAAGGGAGCGUAGGUGGCUCGAUAAGUCAGAUGUGAAAUCCCCGGGCUCAACCUGGGAACUGCAUCUGAUACUGUUGAGCUAGAGUAUGUGAGAGGAAGGUAGAAUUCCAGGUGUAGCGGUGAAAUGCGUAGAGAUCUGGAGGAAUACCGAUGGCGAAGGCAGCCUUCUGGCAUAAUACUGACACUGAGGCUCGAAAGCGUGGGUAGCAAACAGGAUUAGAUACCCUGGUAGUCCACGCCGUAAACGAUGUCUACUAGUCGUUGGGUCCCUUGAGGACUUAGUGACGCAGCUACUGAGACUGCCAAGGCACACAGGGGAUAGGGCCGCAAGGUUAAAACUCAAAUGAAUUGACGGGGGCCCGCACAAGCGGUGGAGCAUGUGGUUUAAUUCGAUGCAACGCGAAGAACCUUACCUGGUCUUGACAUAUCUAGAAUCCUGCAGAGAUGCGGGAGUGCCUUCGGGAAUUAGAAUACAGGUGCUGCAUGGCUGUCGUCAGCUCGUGUCGUGAGAUGUUGGGUUAAGUCCCGCAACGAGCGCAACCCUUGUCCUUAGUUACCAGCGGGUUAAGCCGGGAACUCUAAGGAUACUGCCAGUGACAAACUGGAGGAAGGCGGGGACGACGUCAAGUCAUCAUGGCCCUUACGACCAGGGCUACACACGUGCUACAAUGGUAGGUACAGAGGGCAGCUACACAGCGAUGUGAUGCGAAUCUCAAAAAGCCUAUCGUAGUCCAGAUUGGAGUCUGCAACUCGACUCCAUGAAGUAGGAAUCGCUAGUAAUCGCGGAUCAGAAUGCCGCGGUGAAUACGUUCCCGGGCCUUGUACACACCGCCCGUCACACCAUGGGAGUUGAUUGCACCAGAAGUGGAUAGCUUAACCUUCGGGGAGGCGUUCACCACGGUGUGGUUGAUGACUGGGGUGAAGUCGUAACAAGGUAGCCGUAGGGGAACCUGCGGCUG